GGGUAAAUAGUUUAAUAAAAAUAUGGGUUUUGUAAUCCUAAGAUGUAAUAAAAUUACUUUGUCCU
RNAcentral lists this transfer RNA (65 nucleotides) under Solen grandis (grand razor shell). RNAcentral describes it as "tRNA-Thr". It matches the Rfam family "tRNA". Rfam says of the family: Transfer RNA (tRNA) molecules are approximately 80 nucleotides in length. Their secondary structure includes four short double-helical elements and three loops (D, anti-codon, and T loops). Lineage: Eukaryota; Metazoa; Mollusca; Bivalvia; Adapedonta; Solenidae. The record is from RNAcentral.